GGGCGGUUAGCUCAGUGGUAGAGCAUUCGCUUCACACGCGAGAGGUCGUAGGUUCAAGUCCUAUACCGCCCA
This is a transfer RNA of Deinococcus puniceus, 72 nucleotides long. It matches the Rfam family "tRNA". From Rfam's summary of the family: Transfer RNA (tRNA) molecules are approximately 80 nucleotides in length. Their secondary structure includes four short double-helical elements and three loops (D, anti-codon, and T loops). The record is from Rfam. NCBI's taxonomy places the organism in Bacteria, Thermotogati, Deinococcota, Deinococci, Deinococcales, Deinococcaceae.